CUCAUUUUUCUACUGCUCGUGGAUUUACGCGCACGUUGGAACCGAAGAGAGCUCUGUUGUUGCAAUGUUCAGCCCACAAGAGCUUACUGGUGAAGGAAUGGGACAAGACCCAUCUUUAUGCAAAGCCAGCGUUACAGUAAUGUUCCAGGUAUUCCUGAUGACAGUCUGCCUCUAUCUUACAGAGCAGCUUGUUGCUAUAUACCAUUGAAAAGCCUUCAGAGCUGAGAGGUACUACUAACCAAUAACCUGCUUGGCUCAAAGGGCCAGCACCUUCUCUCUAAAGCCCAAGAGGAGUUUGAGGAAAACUAGGUGUCUGUGUUCACUCCAGGCUGAAGUUACAGGUCUGAGCAAAUAAGGUGUAUAAAAAAUGGACAUCAGAAGGUGAAUUUUCCAAGUUCUUGGACAACCUAGCUGUUGAAAAGCUUUCUGGGUUUGGGGGGUAUUUCAGAUGUACCUUAAAGUGUUAGCAGACACAGAUUAAGACACUGGGAGCCAAUGAAACAGCAGUUGAGGGUUUGCUGUGUAUCACAUUUCUGUAUUUUAUCACCCCCUUCCUGCAACAUUAUUUAUCUGGAAUCUACCUGCCCUUUUGUUUUUUAGAUACAAGGGCUUGGUUUUGUUACCCAGGCUGGUUUCAAGGCCAUAGCUUUAAGAGAUCCUCUCACCACAGAUUUCCAAAGUGCUGGGAUUGCAGGUGUGAUUCAUGGCACCCAGACUUUGCUGCCUUUCUUACAUGAUCCAGGCCCAGAACCCAAACUCAGGCACUGUAUAGAUGACCACUUUCGUAAACUACUGACCUAGCUUGUUGCCAAUUGUUGAUUGAACUUCCCAUAACUCCACUUCGUGUCUGUUCCUCUGUAUACAGCCACCUUCUGUUCCCGUCAUGAGCCUUUAGGUCUCCAUUUGCAUAUUGCAAAUACUAUGUUCCAUGUAGGUAGCUCAUUCAGGGCCUUGCUCUUCACUUCAAAAAAGGUUCCCUUGAGGACUGGCUGUCAAUUUGUGUUGCUGUGUUGGUUGUUGAUGAAAAUAAUAAAAUGAUUGAUUACAUAGUCCUGUUUAAAAAAAAAAAAA
This 1071-nucleotide long non-coding RNA is filed under the name Homo sapiens (human). RNAcentral's name for it is "small nucleolar RNA host gene 1, transcript variant 6 (SNHG1)". Lineage: Eukaryota; Metazoa; Chordata; Mammalia; Primates; Hominidae. The record is from RNAcentral.